Long non-coding RNA from Oncorhynchus kisutch (coho salmon), 338 nucleotides. RefSeq lists it as uncharacterized. The record is from RefSeq and is a predicted model, not a curated record. NCBI's taxonomy places the organism in Eukaryota, Metazoa, Chordata, Actinopteri, Salmoniformes, Salmonidae. The transcript is spliced from 3 exons.
CUUCAUACCUUUCAGACUGUCAGUACAGUUGAAAGUAUGGAUUAUAUCCCUCGCACUCCGCGCAGGUUAAGUAAUAAUAACAACUAAAUCACGCAGGUGACGUGACAGCGUGGGAGGACAUAUAAAACCAUGCACGACUACCUGACUCAGGCAGCACAGUUCAUGGUUCUCUCUUCACUGGUCUUUUGAUGGGAGCCGGAGCCCUGCUAUUGGUCACUCUGCUGCAGCCAUGAAAGAAUGGUCUAAUCAAAUCAAAUUCUAUUUGUCACAUGCACCGAGUACAACAGGAGUAGGCCUUACAGUGAAGUGCUUACUUACAAGCCCUUAACCAACAAUGC